This 245-nucleotide long non-coding RNA is filed under the name Nicotiana benthamiana. RNAcentral describes it as "long non-coding RNA (NBEN_LNC021199)". The record is from RNAcentral. Lineage: Eukaryota; Viridiplantae; Streptophyta; Magnoliopsida; Solanales; Solanaceae.
GUGGAAGAUGGGUUUGACCCCCAAUCGAUUCUAAAUAAAUACACCUCCCUUCGUGGAUAUAUCCACUCACCCUUUGGAAAUCUUUUAAGUGAAGGAACAUAUCGUUCGUACGUCACGCAGAUAGAAAACGGUGAAGUACGGGAAAGUUUACCUUAUAGGAGUUCAGCCCGUUAGUCAGCUUUACGUAUAACUGCUUCUUCAGGUACAAUUUAUUUGUCAGCGUUUUGGACAUGUAUAGGCUUUCC